UACGUAGGGUGCAAGCGUUGUCCGGAAUUAUUGGGCGUAAAGAGCUCGUAGGCGGUUUGUUGCGUCGGCUGUGAAAUCCCGAGGCUCAACCUCGGGUCUGCAGUCGAUACGAGCAAACUAGAGUGUUGCAGGGGAGACUGGAAUUCCUGGUGUAGCGGUGAAAUGCGCAGAUAUCAGGAGGAACACCGGUGGCGAAGGCGGCCCUCUGGACGAAGACUGACGCUGAGACGCGAAAGCGUGGGGAGCAAACAGG
This 253-nucleotide ribosomal RNA is filed under the name uncultured bacterium. RNAcentral's name for it is "partial 16S ribosomal RNA". It matches the Rfam family "Bacterial small subunit ribosomal RNA", at positions 524 to 776 of the family's 1533-position model. The record is from RNAcentral.